UGUGGUGGCAGCAGGCACAGCCCAGCCUCGAAAUGCAGAACGACGCCGGCGAGUUCGUGGACCUGUACGUGCCGCGGAAAUGCUCCGCUAGCAAUCGCAUCAUCGGUGCCAAGGACCACGCAUCCAUCCAGAUGAACGUGGCCGAGGUUGACAAGGUCACAGGCAGGUUUAAUGGCCAGUUUAAAACUUACGCUAUCUGCGGGGCCAUUCGUAGGAUGGGUGAGUCAGAUGAUUCCAUUCUCCGAUUGGCCAAGGCCGAUGGCAUCGUCUCAAAGUAAGGUUGGGGGCUCACAUUUGGGCAGAGUGAGUGGACCAGGACUACUCCAGAGGUGUGGUCUUAACGUUGUCCUUUUCCCCUGGUUCUAGGAACUUUUGACUGGAGAGAAUCACGGAUGUGGAAUAUUUGUCAUAAAUAAAUAAUGAAAACCU
Molecule: small RNA, 429 nt
Filed under: Pongo abelii (Sumatran orangutan)
Lineage: Eukaryota; Metazoa; Chordata; Mammalia; Primates; Hominidae
Description: processed transcript
Source: RNAcentral